AGUGAACGCUGGCGGUAGGCCUAACACAUGCAAGUCGAACGGCAGCACAGUAAGAGCUUGCCCUUACGGGUGGCGAGUGGCGGACGGGUGAGGAAUACAUCGGAAUCUACUUUUUCGUGGGGGAUAACGUAGGGAAACUUACGCUAAUACCGCAUACGACCUACGGGUGAAAGCAGGGGAUCUUCGCACCUUGCGCGAUUGAAUGAGCCGAUUUCGGAUUAGCUAGUUGGCGGGGUAAAGGCCCACCAAGGCGACGAUCCGUAGCUGGUCUGAGAGGAUGAUCAGCCAAACUGAAACUGAGAAACGGCCCAGACUCUUACGGGAGGAAGAGGUGGGGAAUAUUGGAAAAUGGGCGCAAGCUUGAUCCAGCCAUACCGGGUGGGUGAAGAAGGCUUUCGGGUGGUAAAGCCCUUUUGUUGGGAAAGAAAAGCAGCAGGUUAAUACCCCGCUGUUCUGACGGUACCCAAAGAAUAAGCACCGGCUAACUUCGU
RNAcentral lists this ribosomal RNA (491 nucleotides) under uncultured bacterium. RNAcentral's name for it is "partial 16S ribosomal RNA". It matches the Rfam family "Bacterial small subunit ribosomal RNA", at positions 29 to 506 of the family's 1533-position model. The record is from RNAcentral.